AGCAGUCGCGCGGUAAUACGAAGGUUCCAAGCGUUGUUCGGAAUCACUGGGCGUAAAGGGAGCGUAGGCGGCGUGGUAAGUCAGAUGUGAAAUCCCGGGGCUCAACCCCGGAACUGCAUCCGAUACUGCCAUGCUUGAGGGUUGGAGAGGUAGCUGGAAUUCUCGGUGUAGCAGUGAAAUGCGUGGAUAUCGAGAGGAACACUCGUGGCGAAGGCGAGCUACUGGACAAUAUCUGACGCUGAGGCUCGAAGGCUAGGGUAGCGAAAGGGAUUAGAGACCCCUGUAGUCCCUGUCUCUUAUACA
This 303-nucleotide ribosomal RNA is filed under the name uncultured bacterium. RNAcentral describes it as "partial 16S ribosomal RNA". It matches the Rfam family "Bacterial small subunit ribosomal RNA", at positions 510 to 808 of the family's 1533-position model. The record is from RNAcentral.